This 668-nucleotide ribosomal RNA is filed under the name uncultured bacterium. RNAcentral's name for it is "bacterial SSU rRNA". It matches the Rfam family "Bacterial small subunit ribosomal RNA", at positions 8 to 673 of the family's 1533-position model. The record is from RNAcentral.
AGAGUUUGAUCCUGGCUCAGAUUGAACGCUGGCGGCAUGCUUUACACAUGCAAGUCGAACGGCAGCGCGGGGCAACCUGGCGGCGAGUGGCGAACGGGUGAGUAAUAUAUCGGAACGUACCCAAGAGUGGGGGAUAACGUAGCGAAAGUUACGCUAAUACCGCAUACGAUCUAAGGAUGAAAGCAGGGGAUCUUCGGACCUUGUGCUCCUGGAGCGGCCGAUAUCUGAUUAGCUAGUUGGUGAGGUAAAGGCUCACCAAGGCCACGAUCAGUAGCUGGUCUGAGAGGACGACCAGCCACACUGGAACUGAGACACGGUCCAGACUCCUACGGGAGGCAGCAGUGGGGAAUUUUGGACAAUGGGCGAAAGCCUGAUCCAGCAAUGCCGCGAGAGUGAAGAAGGCCUUCGGGUUGUAAAGCUCUUUUGUCAGGGAAGAAACGGUGAGGGCUAAUAUCCUUCGCUAAUGACGGUACCUGAAGAAUAAGCGCCGGCUAACUACGUGCCAGCAGCCGCGGUAAUACGUAGGGUGCAAGCGUUAAUCGGAAUUACUGGGCGUAAAGCGUGCGCAGGCGGUUUUGUAAGUCUGACGUGAAAUCCCCGGGCUCACCUGGGAAUUGCGUUGGAGACUGCAACGCUAGAUCUGGCAGAGGGGGGGGUAGAAUUCCACG